UACGUAGGGUGCAAGCGUUAAUCGGAAUUACUGGGCGUAAAGCGUGCGCAGGCGGUUAUGUAAGACAGUUGUGAAAUCCCCGGGCUCAACCUGGGAAUUGCAUCUGUGACUGCAUAGCUAGAGUACGGUAGAGGGGGAUGGAAUUCCGCGUGUAGCAGUGAAAUGCGUAGAUAUGCGGAGGGAACACCGAUGGCGAAGGCAAUCCCCUGGA
Molecule: ribosomal RNA, 211 nt
Filed under: uncultured bacterium
Lineage: Bacteria
Description: partial 16S ribosomal RNA
Rfam family: Bacterial small subunit ribosomal RNA
Source: RNAcentral